This is a long non-coding RNA of Microtus ochrogaster (prairie vole), 1536 nucleotides long. RefSeq lists it as uncharacterized. The record is from RefSeq and is a predicted model, not a curated record. The transcript has 3 exons. Lineage: Eukaryota; Metazoa; Chordata; Mammalia; Rodentia; Cricetidae.
CACCCUAGCCUAGCUCCCUUGCCUUAGACUGUCUGCCUUGGGCCGCCCCGCCUCCCAGGGGCUGGUUCCCCACAUCGACUGCCCACUAGAUGGGGGUCCAAGACACCAUCCAUCCUUCAGAAUGGCUCUGCUCGGUUCCCAGCACCUUCAGGGAAAACCACGCGUCACGCGCCAGGCCUCGGGCCCUAUCUGAACCUCCAGUCGGUCCAAGGGGAGCGCUCCCCCCAUGUGGCAUCGAAAUUGGGAAAUAAGACCCCGAUCACCAAGAAGCCAAGCCUCAGGGUGGUGAAGACAGAAUUCCAUUUUGUCAUGCGGGCACUGGCAGAGGAGGUCGGGAAGGGAAAUGAACUUUUAUGAAAGACAGAAGAGUCAACAAGCAGCACAAGCCAACUUGAGAACCUGUAACUGAUGGAGGCAGAUACCAGGAAUGCUUUCCUAAGAAGUGCUGGCCCCGGGGUGUGAAAACGGAAGCACCACCACCUGCUUGGCCUCAUAGUCCCUUUCUCUGGAGCCACUGUGAGUCUGUGUAGCAUCCAAAACAUCAAGUGUGCCUGGUCAGAACGUGGUCCAGUGGAGCCAAGAUACUUGGGCGAUAGGCACAUAAAAGAAUUAUGGCCCAGCAACAUUGAAUGAUCACAUCCGGCACUAAAUGUUAUAGUUUAUGCUACAAUCAAGUAAUGAAGUCUGGCCCUGCCUUCCAGUGAAACUGAGCAUACUACACAAAACUGACUCCUGACUUAAUCCCCCGAUGCCAUCCUGACUACAAAGGAAGGCAUCAUCUUUCCCCAGAAGCUUUGGAGCUUUACACCAGCAACCUUGGAUAGCCAAAGCAGAUUCCAGGUCGCUUCCUGUUUGAAAACUUGACUCUCCCCUUGGCUGAGUGGCUGGAUUCCUCCCUGAGCCAUGCUGCAUGAGUGAUGGACCCAGCUGUCAGUUCACUUGUAAGAGCCAUGUCAAGUCCUUGUACACAUCCUUCAGUUCUUAUAUUUGUUUUUUGUUUUGCUUUGUUUUAUGGGCGUAAGUUAAUACAUACUCAUUGUGGUGAAAAUUCAAGAAAGGAAAGUGAAACCCUCUUGUAUUGUGGCUGCUUUGCAUGCAUUAUUACUUGAUAAUAAGCCGAUGUAAGGAUUCGGUAAGUAGAAAGAUAAAAAUUAUAUAGACCAUUUCAAUAUAUUAAGGGCUUUCUAAAUUGAAGUGAUGAAGUUUUACAGUAUUUUUGUUUGUUCAUUUCUACUUUGUUUGAAGUUGUGGGGUCUUGUAUUCUACCACUGAGAUAUCCCCUUAGUCUCUAUGGCUUUGUUCUAAGACUGUACUAUAAGUGUUAGUGUUCCAUUGUUGUAAUAAAAUAUCAUUCAUGACCAAAAACAAUUUAAAAACAAAACAUUAUUUUAGUUUCCAGAGGGCUAGAGCCAAUUAAUGGCCUGGUGGCAAGAGCAGGAAGUAGAUCACAUUUUGUUCGCACACAGGAAACAGAGCAAAAGACAGCAAGAAGUGGUGGAGUGAGGUAUAAACCAUCAAAACUUGUGUGUGUGUGUG